RNAcentral lists this ribosomal RNA (484 nucleotides) under uncultured bacterium. RNAcentral describes it as "partial 16S ribosomal RNA". It matches the Rfam family "Bacterial small subunit ribosomal RNA", at positions 30 to 507 of the family's 1533-position model. The record is from RNAcentral.
AUUGAACGCUGGCGGCAGGCCUAACACAUGCAAGUCGAGCGGAUGAAGGGAGCUUGCUCCUGGAUUCAGCGGCGGACGGGUGAGUAAUGCCUAGGAAUCUGCCUGGUAGUGGGGGAUAACGUCCGGAAACGGGCGCUAAUACCGCAUACGUCCUGAGGGAGAAAGUGGGGGAUCUUCGGACCUCACGCUAUCAGAUGAGCCUAGGUCGGAUUAGCUAGUUGGUGGGGUAAAGGCCUACCAAGGCGACGAUCCGUAACUGGUCUGAGAGGAUGAUCAGUCACACUGGAACUGAGACACGGUCCAGACUCCUACGGGAGGCAGCAGUGGGGAAUAUUGGACAAUGGGCGAAGGCCUGAUCCAGCCAUGCCGCGUGUGUGAAGGAGGUCUUCGGAUUGUAAAGCACUUUAAGUUGGGAGGAAGGGCAGUAAGUUAAUACCUUGCUGUUUUGACGUUACCAACAGAAUAAGCACCGGCUAACUUCGUG